GGCCUCGUAGCUCAGCUGGUAGAGCGUGCGCGUACAAAGCGGAUGCGUCGUCCAUGGGUGGGUUCGAAUCCCACCGAGGCUA
This 82-nucleotide transfer RNA is filed under the name Echinostoma caproni. It matches the Rfam family "tRNA". From Rfam's summary of the family: Transfer RNA (tRNA) molecules are approximately 80 nucleotides in length. Their secondary structure includes four short double-helical elements and three loops (D, anti-codon, and T loops). The record is from Rfam by way of RNAcentral. Lineage: Eukaryota; Metazoa; Platyhelminthes; Trematoda; Plagiorchiida; Echinostomatidae.